CUCCUGCUAUCUUCUAAAUAAAAUAGAGCUGUAACACUGAAAAAAAAAAAGAAAGAAAGAAAGAAAGAAAAGAAAGAAAAUUAUCUCUGGGAUAAUUUUAGAGUUUAUCUGUGAAGCUGUGACACGGCCUCCCCUGGAGUCUCUUGCUCUCUUUCUUACCCUGAACUCCUUCAUGAGGACCAGUAGUCCCAAUUCAGGGAUGCGGGGCUCAAGGAAUCUGCCAGAACAUCUACCUUAUGGCUUAUAGACUGCCUCCCUGCUCUCAUGGACACUGCCUGGGACUGUGUCAGCUGGUUUUUCACCCUGGGUUGAUGACUACAGUCAGCGGUCAAGACUAACAGGUCUCCUUAUGGAUGUGAAAGCUACAUGCAUUUCCAAAACCAAAUCUGUAUUAAAUCAAACAUAUAUGGCUUGAGAGAGACUAAUCCUAUGAGAAUUCCAGAUGGAGUCAUCCCUGAGAUCCCUGCAUGCCAGUUAAUUGCAUCUCUGGAAGCUCCUGUUGGUUGAGCUGGGAUAAGAAUCUCUCCUCAGUGAUCAGCUCACACCCUACUCAAACACCAGGUCAAGUAUGCCAUUAUCUAAUCAUACAUCCCCAUUCAGAUGAUUUCCGUUUACAAGGACCAAUGUAAGGGACAAUGGGGUCAAUAAAAGGCUGCUCAUAU
Molecule: long non-coding RNA, 662 nt
Organism: Bubalus bubalis (water buffalo)
Lineage: Eukaryota; Metazoa; Chordata; Mammalia; Artiodactyla; Bovidae
Exons: 2
Source: RefSeq, a predicted model, not a curated record